Non-coding RNA from Xyrichtys novacula (pearly razorfish), 986 nucleotides. The record is from the annotation of a GenBank genome assembly. NCBI's taxonomy places the organism in Eukaryota, Metazoa, Chordata, Actinopteri, Labriformes, Labridae.
AGCUAAGGCUGCAGGCUCCGUGGAAAAGAUAAUGAUGCAGUGAAGCUCCUCCAGAAGUCCUCUGGUGGAUGAAGCUGUGUGAGUGGAGCGGAGUGUGUGAGAGGGUAAUUGCUCCAAAGACAAAAAGACACAGGCCAUAAUUUGUCCCUACGGCUGCACUAAUGGAGGGAUGGAGUGGUUAGAGAUCAGGCAGGAUGAGUGUGAGGAUGUGGAGGAUGAUCUGUUUUUGUUGCAGCUGAAAAUUAUCUAUAAAGUAGUUCAGUCACUUGGAGACUUUUGCAAAUGCAUUUCUGUAGCUUUAUCAGCAUUAAAAAGGGCAUCUGUUUGACUUCCUCUUAUUGAUGCUGAAAUGAUGCAGCUCAUCAUAAAAACAAUGACAGCAGAACAAGGUUUUUUUUUUUUCCUGACUGCCUCACACUUAAUUUUUCUCUGCCGUCUGUUCUUCUAUUUUCUCUCAAUGUUUCCAGAAAUCUGAGCAUCCUUCCUCUUUGUGCUUUUCUGUCUCUCAGCACCAGAUAAAAACACACACGAGCACAAGCAAAAUCACAUCAGUGAACAUUUCCGAUAGAAAAAAAGUUUGAUGUCAGCACAAUUUAUAACUCUGACGAUCUUUAAGGAUUUGCUUUUUUAAAUUAAAAUCACCAAAAUGAUCAUUGUGUUUCAGUUAAAGUUCAUUCGAGGUGUAACAGCUGAAAAUUUCUAGCUUGAAUGAUCUACUUCACUAUUUUUUUUUUUCCCAAGCACCAAAUCUGAUCCCAGAGCUUCUUUUUUUUUAUUCCAAACUGGAGCCACUAAUCGGUGUCUUCCUCUCCCCCAGCCUCCCGCAGUCUUCCUCCUCCUGUGACAGAGAGCUUUCCCAGAUUCCUCCAGCUUUCCGUCUUCCACCGCUCCCGAAAUCAAUCCGGGAUUAGGCUUGAUUACACGGAUACCCCUCUGGGACGCUUUAUUUCAAUGAAUUAGUUGAGUGAGUGAACAGAAGUGCAACA